This is a small nucleolar RNA of Laticauda laticaudata (blue-ringed sea krait), 134 nucleotides long. Its record names the gene SNORA70. It matches the Rfam family "Small nucleolar RNA SNORA70". From Rfam's summary of the family: snoRNA U70 seems to be exclusive to mammals and is a member of the H/ACA class of snoRNA which contain H (ANANNA) and ACA box motifs. H/ACA box snoRNAs are involved in the conversion of uridines to pseudouridines (5-ribosyluracil) a constituent of structural RNAs (transfer, ribosomal, small nuclear, and small nucleolar). Lineage: Eukaryota; Metazoa; Chordata; Lepidosauria; Squamata; Elapidae. The record is from Ensembl.
UUGCAGUCAAUUAAGCCGACCAACCUCUGUUUCUAUCAGCGGCUGGUGUGCACUGUCUGCACACAGCAAUUCCCUUGGCUGUGUACGUGCCCUGUUAUUUGUACAGAGCACCUUAAGGGACCUUGGGAACAUAU